GCAGUGUACCCGCGGCAAGACGGAAAGACCCCGUGAACCUUUACUAUAGCUUGACACUGAACAUUGAGCCUUGAUGUGUAGGAUAGGUGGGAGGCUUUGAAGUGUGGACGCCAGUCUGCAUGGAGCCGACCUUGAAAUACCACCCUUUAAUGUUUGAUGUUCUAACGUGGACCCGUUACCCGGGUUGCGGACAGUGUCUGGUGGGUAGUUUGACUGGGGCGGUCUCCUCCUAAAGAGUAACGGAGGAGCACGAAGGUUGGCUAAUCCUGGUCGGACAUCAGGAGGUUAGUGCAAUGGCAUAAGCCAGCUUGACUGCGAGCGUGACGGCGCGAGCAGGUGCGAAAGCAGGUCAUAGUGAUCCGGUGGUUCUGAAUGGAAGGGCCAUCGCUCAACGGAUAAAAGGUACUCCGGGGAUAACAGGCUGAUACCGCCCAAGAGUUCAUAUCGACGGCGGUGUUUGGCACCUCGAUGUCGGCUCAUCACAUCCUGGGGCUGAAGUAGGUCCCAAGGGUAUGGCUGUUCGCCAUUUAAAGUGGUACGCGAGCUGGGUUUAGAACGUCGUGAGACAGUUCGGUCCCUAUCUGCCGUGGGCGCUGGAGAACUGAGGGGGGCUGCUCCUAGUACGAGAGGACCGGAGUGGACGCAUCACUGGUGUUCGGGUUGUCAUGCCAAUGGCACUGCCCGGUAGCUAAAUGCGGAAGAGAUAAGUGCUGAAAGCAUCUAAGCACGAAACUUGCCCCGAGAUGAGUUCUCCCUGAGACUUAGAGUCUCCUGAAGGAACGUUGAAGACGACGACGUUGAUAGGCCGGGUGUGUAAGCGCAGCGAUGCGUUGAGCUAACCGGUACUAAUGAACCGUGAGGCUUAACCUUACAACGCCGAAGCUGUU
Molecule: ribosomal RNA, 887 nt
Filed under: Salmonella enterica
Lineage: Bacteria; Pseudomonadati; Pseudomonadota; Gammaproteobacteria; Enterobacterales; Enterobacteriaceae
Description: partial 23S ribosomal RNA
Rfam family: Bacterial large subunit ribosomal RNA
Source: RNAcentral